GACGAACGCUGGCGGCGUGCUUAACACAUGCAAGUCGAACGCUGAAGCUCAGCUUGCUGGGUGGAUGAGUGGCGAACGGGUGAGUAACACGUGAGUAACCUGCCCUCUUCUUUGGGAUAACGCCCGGAAACGGGUGCUAAUACUGUAUAUUCACUGAUUCUCGCAUGGGGGUUGGUGGAAAGGUUUUUUCUGGUGGGGGAUGGGCUCGCGGCCUAUCAGCUUGUUGGUGGGGUGAUGGCCUACCAAGGCUUUGACGGGUAGCCGGCCUGAGAGGGUGACCGGUCACAUUGGGACUGAGAUACGGCCCAGACUCCUACGGGAGGCAGCAGUGGGGAAUAUUGCACAAUGGGCGAAAGCCUGAUGCAGCGACGCCGCGUGAGGGAUGGAGGCCUUCGGGUUGUAAACCUCUUUCGCUCAUGGUCAAGCCGCAGCUUUGGGUUGUGGUGAGGGUAGUGGGUAAAGAAGCGCCGGCUAACUACGUG
RNAcentral lists this ribosomal RNA (482 nucleotides) under uncultured bacterium. RNAcentral's name for it is "partial 16S ribosomal RNA". It matches the Rfam family "Bacterial small subunit ribosomal RNA", at positions 28 to 507 of the family's 1533-position model. The record is from RNAcentral.